Molecule: long non-coding RNA, 3008 nt
Organism: Neoarius graeffei (lesser salmon catfish)
Lineage: Eukaryota; Metazoa; Chordata; Actinopteri; Siluriformes; Ariidae
Exons: 5
Source: RefSeq, a predicted model, not a curated record
UGUACUGAUGUGACAAAGGGGAGGAAGGAGAUCGGGAUUACCUUUUACACCAGGCCCAGCUUGAGGACACCAGAAAAAUAAUCACCACCAUGCAGCAGACUGUGACAUACAGUACACUCCAAUCUAGAGAAGAAUCAGGCCAAAAACUUGCUCUCAUCAUCAAGAAAGUGUCUAAAGGGGUUCUCCAUCCACAGAGGAUCACAGGAGCAACUUCGAGUGACAGGGUCACACCGACCAUGACCAGAACAGAGCAGCAAACACACUGCACAGAUUUGCCACAGUACAUGACAUUGAAAAAAAGGUUAACUGUGUGUGUGGAUAUGAUUCGAUCGGGAUUAGAAGGUGGUAUACUUGGUUAAUAGACAGGAGGAAAUGUGUUGCUCUGUGCUACUCACUGACUGUGUCCACUCUGAGGACUUUGAAGAGCAGAUAAUCUGUUUUCUCCUUCAGAAGCUGAUACCUCAGGAGACGAGCCAGUUUUGGGCCAGGGAUCGCCCCAUCAGAACCCUGCACUGAGAACCUAAAAACGGUGCUGUGUACACACACACACACACACACACACGCUUUCAAACUACUAAGUGAAAGAUGCUUAUGUUUGUGUACUGUGCAAUCAAAUUUACUAAGCACUUGUUGCUGGAAUUGUUCACUGUACUUUCCAACCCAAAGUGUUCUGGUCAUGGUCAUGAUCUAUAUGAUGCAAUGUUGACUUUGUAGUUGAUGGCAAGUGUAUUUAUACAGUAGUGUAUCUUUCGAGUCAUUUUUGAGUCAGGGAAAUGCUGAAAUUUCUGACAGGUUUGACUCGUUUCCAUAUUUUCCAGGUGCCAAGCAACAGCGUUCUAACACUCAGUGCGUUUACAUGCACAUAGAGAAAAUCGAAUUUCUGCCGUAGCUCGACUGAAAUCGAAGUUCUAAAUGCCAUGGAAACACCUUAGCUCGGCUGAAAUCGAACCGAACUGGAUUUCUCGUAAUCGAGCUACGCGACCUAGAUUAUGCGAUUGUAGCCGAGCUACUUGGUGCAUGUAUACCCUAUCGAGCUACUUACUUCAGCACUGCCCCUUCCGCGAGUGACGAGACCACAAGCGGGAAACACAACAGCCUCGGUCGGCAUGACAACAGUAGUAGAAACGUGCACUUCUGGAGCAAUGAGGAGAUAGAGUUCAUGCUCAUUCAGCUUAAGGAGUUGAAUAUAUAUAUCGAUGUUGCUGUCCUUGUCGUCGUUCUUCUUGUGAACACAGAACUGAUAACUUUGUUUAUACUCUUGAAUAGCUCUUCUUCAUGACGACAACCGGAAGUGUACCAACACGAUGGGGCGUGUAGCGCCACCUGUGGCUCGGGUGCACAAUGUACCUCACACAAUAGCUCGAUUUCCUUGUGUGCAUGUAGGAUUGGAUUUCUCUGGCACCCCUGCUGGGACCCUUAGCUCGAUUACCGACAGCAGCUCGAUUUGGAUGUGCAUGUAAACGCACUGACUGAAAUGGCAAGCACGUUAUAUGAUCACCCUCUCGUGCUGAAAACACGUUUCACUAAACAGACCACUAUACUCUGUACAUAUUGGACUGAAGACGAGCACAUAAAACAGGCCUCGUUGUUGGCUCGUUGUACCUGAUGUCAGACUGGCCGUGAAGGCCCUUCAUAGCGAUAUCUGCAUCCAGUACAUGGAGCAGUGCAGCCAGCUGCCUCACCACUGACUCCUUCUGCUGCUGACUGACCUGAGCUAAGGGGACCUGCAGCUCCAGCUCCACCUCCUCCCGCUCACACAUGCAUAUCAAAAUGACCCUACCAGGACGGACUUCCACUGUGGCCAUUGCAGUGCUGGAGUGACCCUGACCAUCACUGACUCGCAGCUGGAACAGCUGGACUCUGCUCGUCUCUGAGCCACAGGAAGGACACGUUUGUGGAACCACAGUUAGACACAGAGCCUCUCAGCACCAGAGUGUUAUUGGGUAAGACCAGUCAAGUAGUCUUUGACUCUUCUCCUGUUCCAUCUUUGAAGCAGUCCUCUCUUCGCUGAUGUCAUCCUCCACAGUCCUGUAACUCUCAUCAUACUCCAUUGCAUUGGUGUUGUCCAAAUCUUGAAUGUCCUCCAGUAAAGCCAGGUCCUUCAGAGGGUUUUCUGGGCCCCUGUGUCUGGGCAAUGGACGCCACUGGCUGGCAUAAGGCUCACCACGUACCAGGGACUGCAGGACCAGGGUCUGUGGACGCCUGCGCUGUAGGAAGGCCAACCGUGAAUCUGUCCCUGGUCUCUUUUUGGGCUGGCAGUUUUCUUUUUGUUGGCAGCUGAGGAUGUAGCAGUGUCUCUCAAAGAACCAGGCCAGGUCACAGCCUGGAAGAUCACAGCAGGCACCUACACACUGGGCCAGCGUCAACACCUCAGGAACCCUCAGGAUGCUGCUGCUCCUCAACUCAGGAGACACUACCAUCUCAGAAUACGUCGGCCCCUGCCAGCACUGCCCUGCUAACACAUCUACAGCACAAAAAAUGGGCAUUUACAAGAGUUACUUUACAAGUUGCUGUAUAGCCUUAGUCCUGCACUAAACAACAUUUAAGCAUCUAACUUUUCAGUGUUUAGCAACUAAAUCUUGCCAUAUUUCAUAAACUUACUACUAGCAACUUGGACAGAAAGAAAAAAAACAGUUGGAAACAGAGGAAAAUGAGAAACAUCAUCCAUCACACAGAAAUAUAAAUGUAAAGGCAUUGCUAACUGAUGGUGAGUGGUGAUUAUGUAAGACUUACCCAGGUGACUCAUAACUCUUACCAGAUGGUUGCAUCAAUUUAACAAACUGUCAUGAAUUAUUGAAAUCACAUUUAACCGCACAUUUCCCAACAAAAGAAUCCCUAAAUGCAACCCCAUUUCAUUUUAAAAGAUCAGUUAUGUGGAGUAAACCACCAAAAGAGUAAUGAAAUGAGAAAUACUAAUAUGAAAUCAACGGGCGUGUUCUCAAUCUAAAUGCAGGGAUGAGGAUGAAAAAUAUUUAAAAAGUCUGAAAAAAGCCGGGGGUUUGGGGGCC